ACGACCGUAAACGCAGAUAAUAUUAUUAUAAACAGUACACAUUAUAUUGUGAUGUAGGUGCUCACCUGCUGCAGCGGCACAAAGUAUACAAACCGAAUCCGGAAUCGCGUGUGUUAAUAAGAACCGUCACGACCCGUCCGUCGGAGGAAAACGGUAAUUUCUUCUAACGAACGAAUCCGGUGUAUUAAAAAUGUAUUCCAAGAAUACUGUAGUACCAGCUACUAUAUGCUGUUUACUAUACAAUAUAUAAUACUAGAAUUUUUAGUCGGGAAAUGUUUAUAUUCAAGGCAUAUUACACAUUUUUAUUAACCCUUCUACUGUAUGUCUAUGUAUACGUAUGUGCGCAAUACGUUCCAAAGAUUUUCACUAAGAGACAGAAGAACAGACACUACUACUUCAACUGAUGCCAUAAUUAGGUAACGGCACGAAUACCCAGAGGACCAGUCAAACGUGUUUACUCACGCGAUGUUGGCUUGUACAUGGUAUUUACAACGCCAUCUAUCAACGACAAAUAGUUUCAUUCAACAUAAUAUUGUAAAUACCUAGGUACUAAAUUAUUUUACCAAUACCAUUGAUUUUAUAGUACAGGGUCCGGCAAAAAACCUCCUUUAUUUAGAAAUAGCGCUGCGUGAGUUGUGGUGGUGGUACAACAGUGGAGAGGGUAUCGAUGGAUAGUGGUAUACGUGCCAUUUUCAGUAAAUGUAAAUAUGUAAUGGCAAGGAACAAAAAAUAAACGAAAUAAAAACCAGCAAAAAAUAACGAAAAUAAAACGUGAUUUUAAAAAAAAAAAUCUAAAUUUAAAUUUUUUAACGUGAUCACCCUGUGAUUACGUUCUUUGGUGAUAUUUAAAUGAGGCACAGUGUGCGAUCAUCGCCCCACAUCCCUACAAGCACUUGAGGAACCAAUCACCAGGCAUUGGCUUCCACUACACCAGCAAUGACACGAAGAGUUAUGGAAAACUAUCGGGAAAGGUUUCGUGAAUGUAUUAACAAUGGAGGACACCACUUAACCGAUAUAAUGCUUAAAAUAAAUAAUUAAAAAUAGCAUAAUAUUUAUUAGUAAAAAACAAAAGAAUUUUUUCUAUUUCUUUGUUUGUUUACUUGCAACUACCUCUUGAAAAAAUGGAAAGUUUUUUACCGGACCCUGUAUAUUAUAAAAUCAAUGCUAAUAGUUAAUACUCAAAGAUGGGUGUUAGGCCAUUAACUAAUUAUAAAGUUAACUUUGUUGUAACUUUAAAACUUAACUAGUGAGUUAAUUAUCUAUUUUUUUAUUAAUAACUCGCCUAGUUUAAAGUUCAACGAAAUUGA
This is a long non-coding RNA of Rhopalosiphum maidis (corn leaf aphid), 1307 nucleotides long. RefSeq lists it as uncharacterized. The record is from RefSeq and is a predicted model, not a curated record. NCBI's taxonomy places the organism in Eukaryota, Metazoa, Arthropoda, Insecta, Hemiptera, Aphididae. The transcript has 3 exons.